RNAcentral lists this ribosomal RNA (333 nucleotides) under Triticum aestivum (bread wheat). RNAcentral describes it as "partial small subunit ribosomal RNA". Lineage: Eukaryota; Viridiplantae; Streptophyta; Magnoliopsida; Poales; Poaceae. The record is from RNAcentral.
AUGACUCGGGACAUGGAUGCUGAGACGGCGGCCCCGGAUGGUGGGCUGCAUGGUUGGCUCUUCGGCGGGCACUAUGGCGGCGAUGGUGGCUCUCCUCUUGGUCGUGUGGGCGACGAGGGGGUAGUGUCAGGUGGCUCGGGCUCGCACUCCUUCGCUAGGGCGACGCCCAGAUCCAGAUAUGGGAGUCUGGAAUCACCGCGGUUGCCUUGGUGGCCUCGUGUGGCACGGGUGAUUUGCCGAGCGAAAGCUCCGCGCUUUUGCGCCGACGCUCAUGGGCGCCGCUUUUUUCUUGAAGACGUCGUUGUGGAUCUCCUCUCUGUGCCAGGGUUCUGA